RNAcentral lists this microRNA precursor (260 nucleotides) under Amborella trichopoda. RNAcentral's name for it is "miR8610 stem-loop (atr-MIR8610)". Lineage: Eukaryota; Viridiplantae; Streptophyta; Magnoliopsida; Amborellales; Amborellaceae. The record is from miRBase by way of RNAcentral.
UUGAUCAUUCCCUCUCUCCUACCCAAUGUUGUGAGAUUUCGCUUCAGAACCUUCUUCGGUUUGUUCAGAAAAAUUAAGCGCUUCAGUACUUCUUCCGAUUCUGAGGAAGACUUCGGAUUUAUAUUAAGUUAAAAAAAAAAAAUCUGAAGUCUCUCCCCUAAUCUGCCAAAUUACCGAAGUGCUUCAUUUUUCUGACCAAAUUGAAGGAGGUUCUGAAACGAAUCUAACAAUAUUGGUCAAAGCAACAUAACCGAUGUCAA